This 349-nucleotide unclassified non-coding RNA is filed under the name soil metagenome. RNAcentral describes it as "partial contains 5.8S ribosomal RNA, internal transcribed spacer 2, and large subunit ribosomal RNA". The stretch from base 1 to 120 matches the Rfam family "5.8S ribosomal RNA", at positions 35 to 154 of the family's 154-position model. The record is from RNAcentral.
GAUGAAGAACGUAGCGAAAUGCGAUAAGCAAUGUGAAUUGCAGAAUUCAGUGAAUCAUCGAAUCUUUGAACGCACAUUGCGCCCGGCAGUAAUCUGCCGGGCAUGCCUGUCCGAGCGUCAUUUCACCCCUCGAGCCGCUUUUAGUGGAUCGGUGUUGGGGCACUACGGUAAAACGUAGGCCCUGAAAUGAAGUGGCGGUCCCGCCGCGGUGCCCCCAUGCGUAGUAACGUUUAGUCUCGCAUCGGGUCCCGGCGGAGGCCUGCCGUCAAGCCUAUUUAUUCUCAGAAUAGUUUGACCUCGGAUCAGGUAGGGUUACCCGCUGAACUUAAGCAUAUCAAUAAGCGGAGGA